RNAcentral lists this ribosomal RNA (253 nucleotides) under uncultured bacterium. RNAcentral describes it as "partial 16S ribosomal RNA". It matches the Rfam family "Bacterial small subunit ribosomal RNA", at positions 524 to 776 of the family's 1533-position model. The record is from RNAcentral.
UACAGAGGGGGCAAGCGUUGUUCUGAAUUACUGGGCGUAAAGGGCGCGUAGGCGGCCUUCUAAGUCGAACGUGAAAUCCCCGGGCUCAACCCGGGAACUGCGUCCGAUACUGGAAGGCUUGAAUCCGGGAGAGGGAUGUGGAAUUCCAGGUGUAGCGGUGAAAUGCGUAGAUAUCUGGAGGAACACCGAUGGCGAAGGCAGCCCCCUGGGCUAACACUGACGCUCAUGCACGAAAGCGUGGGGAGCGAACAGG